This 4439-nucleotide long non-coding RNA is filed under the name Sarcophilus harrisii (Tasmanian devil). RNAcentral's name for it is "lncRNA (ENSSHAG00000025406.1)". The record is from RNAcentral. Lineage: Eukaryota; Metazoa; Chordata; Mammalia; Dasyuromorphia; Dasyuridae.
UGGAUCUAAACUCACAAUAUAUCUGAAGUAUGCCUGUACUUCUGAGUUCCUACUGAAAUUACUCUUCCCAGGAUUACCAAUAAUUUCCUAAUCAUCAAAUCCAAGGGUCUUUUCUGUUCUCAUGCUUUUUGACCUCUGCAGAUUUUGGCACAUUUUGACCAUUCCCCAGCUCCUGGAUACUCUUCUCUCCCUUGGCUUUCCUGAUACUACUUUCUUUUAAUUCUCCCCCAUCCUCCUUAUUCACCCUCCCUGGAUCAUCAUCCAUCAGUAAGUCUGCAUGUGUCUUUUUAGUUCCUAGUUCUCUCUGAGUUAGCAAAGCAGCUCCUGUGGAUUCAUUUAUUACCAUUCUGUUCAAAGCUCCCAAACCAAUAUACCCCAGACAUCUUGCCACCUGAAUGUGCCAUAAGCACCACAAAUUCACGUCCAAAAUGGAAUUAUACUUGUUGUUCAGUUGUUUUUCAGUUGUAUCCAACUCUUCGUGACCCCAUUUUGGGUUUUCUUGGCAAAACUGUUGGAAUGGUUUCCUUUUCCAGUUCAUUUUACAGAUGAGGAAACUGAGGCAAACAGGGUUAUUAAGUGAUUUAUCACAACAGAGGGUCACACAGCUAGUAAGUAUCUGAGGUCAGAUUUGAAUUCAGGAAGAUGACUUCCUAACUCCAGGCCCAUUUUAUCCACUGUGUCAACAAAUUGCCCCAGGAAUUACAUAUUCUCCCAAAAUUCAACCUCUCCUCCAAAUAUCCCUAUUUUCAUUGAUAGUACCACCAUCCAUCCUUUUAGUUGGCCAAGUUAUGAGAGUCAGAGAGUGGUCAUUGUUUGGGUCCUCAGAGUGAAUGCAAAUAGCAGUCUUUUCUGUUUUGCCCAGAAACUCUGAAGGUUCUUUCUCUCCCAGAUUUAUUUGUUAUUGUUUUUUUUAUUACAUUUAAGAGGAGAUACUUUGCCUCAUUUACUACCCAACCUUAAUCACUGAAUGAUUCAGCCUCAAACUGGGACCUGUUGAGGACCUGAGCUUAAAGAGGGCAAAGUCUCCCAAUGCAACCAGGGCUAUCUCCAGUCAUUCUGAUCCAUAUUGGACCACUGAGAAGGCUCUAGAGGGAAAACUGAGACAGGUGACCUUGCACAGCCCACCUUCACUUAGAUCCAACUCACUUGCAUGUCACAGCAUCACAAAUGCUCUCUGCUGUCAUGGUCUUCUUGGAGAACAAACAACAUUCUUUCAGUACCUGGGGUUCACAACCUUGGAGCCAUUCUUUAUUCUCCCCUCUCCCACCAUAUCUAUUACCUAGCCUUCUUGAUUUUGCUACCACAUUUCUUGCAUUAGUGUCCUUCUGUCCACUGACAUGGUCAUCAUCCAGGCUCAGGCAUUCAUCAUCUCUGACUUGGACUACUGCAAAAGCUUCCUAACUGAUCUUCCAGCUUUCAGCUCCAGUUCUCUCCCUUCUCUAAUCCAUCCAUCACACAGCUGAAAAUAAAAUAAAUAAAAUGAAGUCCAAACAUGUUAUUCUCCUGAUCAAAGAUCUUUAGAGACUUCCUGUUGCCUCUAGGGUAAAAUGCAAUCUUCAGCCAAAUAUGGAAAGCCCUCUACCACCGUUUCCCACCUGCCUUUCCAAACAUUUCAGAUUACUCCUCUAUACACAUGUUCUAAUUCCAGCCAAAAUGGCCUCUGAGCUAUUCUCUGAACUCAACAUUCCAUUUUCUAUCUUCAUACCUUCAUACCCAUUUGCCUAGAAUCAGUUAAUCCAAAAGCAUUUAUUAAGCAUUUACAAUAUGCCAAAUACUAAGCUCAGCACUAGUAAUAUAAACAUUAAAAAAAAAAAAAAGUUUCUGUAGUCUUGUACCUAAGGAGCUUACAUUUUAAUGGGUGGAAACAAUUUGUAGGUAAAUAUAGCAUAUGUACAGAAUAAAUAGAAGGUAAAAUCAGAGGGCAAGGCAUUAGUAGCUGGGGAAAUAGGGAACAGGUUCUUGAAGAAGGUUGGAUUUGAGCUGAGACUUCAAGGAGGCCAAGGUGAGAAGAGGGAGCAUUCUAGGCAUGGGGGGGCAACCAAUGCCAAGGCACGGAAAUGGGAGAUGGAAUAUAACACAUGAGAGGAACGGCAAUUAGGCCAAGCAGCUGGAUUGUGGAGUAGAUGGAAGGGAGCAUAGGAGGAGGAAACUUCUUCACUCUAAUCCGUAGGUUCUUUCCUGCCUGGAUGCCCUAAAGGAAGGAAGCAAGGACAAAUGGAAGCCUGGAUGGAGAGCAAGUAUCAGCAGCCUGCAUACCGGCCUGAACAACAUGAAGCCACAGGCACAUGGCUCUGCUGCUCUGUCCCUGUUGUGUCCAUUAUUCUUUCCUGCCUAGUGAAGGAACAUUAGAGAUGGAAUGGACUAGACUACAACUCUGUGAGCUUCAGAAGAUCAGGAGAAAACUAGGGAUCCAGGAACUGGAAUAUAUAUUUGCGAGAAUCUGUGGACAGAGAAGAUUGAUGAGGAUUGACACCAAAAUGUUGGUUUCUGGAAGGAAGGGUCUUCUUCACUCAUUAGUCAUGUCACAUUCAGAAGUGAUAUUAGUGGGACAAAUACUCUAAAGUAAUCAACUCAAGGGUGAACUCAUUCCCCCCAGGGACUAGUGUGGUGGUGGUAAUGGUGGUGAUAUGGAGUGUCCUUGAUUCAGGAGGAUGUGUUUAUAUUUCUGUUCUUGCUUUAUCUUCUUGAUAGAUCAAAUUCUCUGUUCAGCUCUACUCUUUUCAUCAAAAAAUAAUUGAAAUGCCCUAUUUCAUUGAAUAGCCAUCUUUUUCCUUAAAAGAUAAUGCUUAGUUUUGCUGGGCACUUGAUUCUUUUGCCCUCCAAAAUACAAUAUUCCUUUGAUCCUUUAAAGUGGAAAUUGCUAUGUUCUGAAUAGUCUUGAUUGUGGCUCCUUGAUAUUUGAAUUCUUUCUGGCUGCUUGCAGUAUUUUUCCCUCAAUCUGAUAAUUCUGGAAUCUAGUUACAAUAUUCCUUGGAAUUUUUGUUUUGGGGUCUCUUUCAGGUGGUGAUUGGUGGAUUCUUUCAAUGGUUAUUUUACUCUCUGGUUGUAGAACAUCAGGGCAGUUUCCCUUGAUUUCUUGAAAGAUGUUGUCUAGGAUCUUUUUUUCAUCAUGGUUUUCAAGUAGUCCAAUAAUUAUUAGAUUGUCUCUACUGGAUUUAUUUUCCAGGCUAGUUGCUUUUCUGAUGAGGUAUUUUAUAUUUUCUUAUUUCUUCAUGUUUUAAUGUUUUGUUAAACUGAUUCUUGAUGUCUCAUUGAGUCAUUCACUUCCAUUUGUUCAACUCUAAUUUUUGGUGAAUUAUUUUCUUCAGUUAGUUUUUCUACCUCCUUUUGAAUUUAGCUAAUUGAACUUUCAAAUGAGUUGUUUUGUUCAUUGCAUUUUUUUUCCAUUUCACCAUAUUUUUAAAGUUGUUCUCUUUUUUCCAUUUCACCUAUUCUGUUUUUCAAGUUUUCUUUUUCCAUUUUGCCAAAUCUAUUUUUUAAGGAUUAUUUUCUUCUGACACUUUCUGUGUUUCCUUUCCCCAUUUUUCUUCUCUCUUUUAAAAUCCUUUCAAGAGAGUAUUUUGAGUCGAAGGCAAACUCUUAUCACCCUUUGAGACUUCAUCUGAAGAUGUUUUGCCUUUAGUGCCCUCAGGGUUUGAGGUUCUGUUCUUCCCUAUGUCCAUAAUAGCUAUCUAUAGUCAGAGCUCUUUUUGUAUUUUUGUUCAUUUUUAAAGGUUGAAAUCUAUUCUUAGGGGAAAGGGAAAAUUGUCCCAAUCUUCCUCUACAAUGCAACAAUGGCUUCUUUCUUGUGGGCAUGGCCAAGUCCCACUUGUUAUGCUAGGGUUCAGGGACACCACAAUUCUGUAGUGGUGCUGGAGAUUUCAUAGCUAAGUCUGCUGAUCCACAGACUUCUGAACCAGGACAGAGUAGCCAACACUGCUGUAUUUUGGUUAGGAGCCUCCCACUAGAUUCCCCUGCCAUGUGGAAGCUUCUCCACCCUGGGCCUUGCCUGCAUUGCGCCUGCAGUGGGUUGUGUUUCCCCUGCCCAAAUGAGACAAACCUUUCUGAAAUUCUUUCAAAAUAUCUUCUGUUGGAAAUUUGUUACAUUCCAAAUAUUUUUGGGUUCUAUUACUCCAAAAUGCAUUUAGAAGCUUGAUCUGGUAUUGAUUCUGAAGCAAGCCAGAAAGAGUUCAGGCAAAGAGCUGUCUAAUCUCUGCCAUCUUGGCUCUGCCCUAUCUUCUUGAUAAGUAACUCUUUUGUAAAAGUUAAAAAAAAAAAUUCUUAGAAAAAUAGGAAGGAGCUAGAUUAAGAAAAGCAUUAAACAUAAAACUCAGAUUUUUACAUUUGAUCCUAGAGAUAAUACGGAGUUCCUGGAGUUUAAUAAAUAAAGCAGUGACAUGAUCAGACCUGCAAUUUAGGAAAAUCUCUCUGGCAAUUGAAAUAUGGAUUAGAGUGAGGAA